Herpailurus yagouaroundi (jaguarundi) is the source of this 1176-nucleotide long non-coding RNA. RefSeq lists it as uncharacterized. The transcript is spliced from 2 exons. NCBI's taxonomy places the organism in Eukaryota, Metazoa, Chordata, Mammalia, Carnivora, Felidae. The record is from RefSeq and is a predicted model, not a curated record.
CCAAAAAGCUUUUACCAAAGACCUUCAGAGAAUACCAUGGAGCCUCAAAAUAUAACCCUAAGGCAAACAACAUUCCUGUUUUCUUAGGUAAUUUUUUUUCCCCCAAAUGUCUUCUUAACUAGACUUAAUGUCCAGUUGUGUAAACAGCUGAAGAUAUCCUAAUCCCUGAGAGGAUGUCAAAGAUUCAUACUUGAAUGGGGAAGAUAUUGAGGGUGUGGGGAAGAAUGGAAGGAAAACUAGCAUUAACUAUUAAACACGGACAAGAUUUUAAAAAUUACAUACCAUUUGGCACUUCUCAUCUCCAAAGUAUGCUGCCCCCAUUAAAGGCAAGGAAAGGCAAGCUUCUCACCGUGGCAAAUUGGCCUAAUUAUGCUUUCUCUCUCCUCAACUGGGAAGGGUUUGCAUGCACUGGUUUAAAAACAUGCUUCCUAUGAGUGACCGCCUUUGCUCUGGAUGGGAAUGCAGUUACCCUAUCCGCACCGGUUUGAUGCGGUCUCUCAUUUUACAAACUGGACUUGGAACCACUUAACAAAAGGCAAUAAGCAAAUGCAUGUGGAAAAUAUGCAAGUCAGCUCUCCAGGCCAGAGUCCCGGGCAUGUUCUUAGAACAGAAACCCUGCUCUCAGCUUUAUUUUGCUGCAGGAGCUUGGGGCAGGUCAGUGGUUCAGGGUCUGCGUGUUGAAGGCAAGGUUGGAAAUAAAGACGUUCCUGAUGUGCCUCACCCUCCACAAACAGAGUGUGUCCCUGAUACUGGAUACCACCCGGCUGCUGGAGACCCUUGGGCUGAGAGUCUGAGGCUCUGACGUUGCAAUUCAAACCCCAGAGCGCAGCGGAUUUUCAUCUGGGUUUCAGAGGAGGCAUUAUCUUCACUUUGUUUCUGGACACUGGAGCUGAACCCCCUCCCCCAGAGAUAAGAACAAACAGAAUGUGUUCUGUCUUCCCAAAGAUGCUACAUCAGCAUGUAUUUUCCACUUAAGGCUUUUAAGCAUUUGACUUACACAUUUAUGAACACCCCCAGUGGACCGUUAGGGUUUGGUUUAAUCCCCAAGAAAACUGGCAUUAAAAUAGACCUUUUCCCGGCAAUAAUAAUCUCAUUUACGAUAAAUUAUUCUAUUCUCAGUACCUUUGAGACACAUGAGAGCUUUUAUGUAAUAAAGAAGCCAUUUAUUUCCGAAUA